UACGUAGGGUGCAAGCGUUAAUCGGAAUUACUGGGCGUAAAGCGUGCGCAGGCGGUGAUGUAAGACAGAUGUGAAAUCCCCGGGCUCAACCUGGGAACUGCAUUUGUGACUGCAUCGCUGGAGUGCGGCAGAGGGGGAUGGAAUUCCGCGUGUAGCAGUGAAAUGCGUAGAGAUGUGGAGGAACACCGAUGGCGAAGGCAGCCCCCUGGGCCGUGA
This 216-nucleotide ribosomal RNA is filed under the name uncultured bacterium. RNAcentral's name for it is "partial 16S ribosomal RNA". It matches the Rfam family "Bacterial small subunit ribosomal RNA", at positions 524 to 739 of the family's 1533-position model. The record is from RNAcentral.